Molecule: ribosomal RNA, 460 nt
Filed under: uncultured bacterium
Lineage: Bacteria
Description: partial 16S ribosomal RNA
Rfam family: Bacterial small subunit ribosomal RNA
Source: RNAcentral
CCUACGGGUGGCAGCAGUGAGGAAUAUUGGUCAAUGGACUUACGCCCGAACCAGCCAAGUCGCGUGAGGGAAGACUGCCCUAUGGGUUGUAAACCUCUUUUGUCAGGGAGCAACGCCGGCUACGUGUAGCCGGACUGAGAGUACAUGAAGAAAAAGCAUCGGCUAACUCCGUGCCAGCAGCCGCGGUAAUACGGAGGAUGCGAGCGUUAUCCGGAUUUAUUGGGUUUAAAGGGUGCGUAGGCGGAAUGCCAAGUCAGCGGUAAAAUCGCGGGGCUCAACCUCGCUCCGCCGUUGAAACUGGCGGUCUUGAGUGGGCGAGAAGUAUGCGGAAUGCGUGGUGUAGCGGUGAAAUGCAUAGAUAUCACGCAGAACUCCGAUUGCGAAGGCAGCAUACCGGCGCCCAACUGACGCUGAAGCACGAAAGCGUGGGUAUCGAACAGGAUUAGAUACCCGUGUAGUC